GAACCUUGGAAACAUCGAGGCUCCGUGAGGUGCCCAGACUCCAGACUCGGCACGUGUCACGAGGAAGGGCACAGUCCAGCGGAGCGGCUGGACCUGGAGGUUCACGCCCUAUCUGGGGCACCUUGGCCGUAUUACCUAGCCUCUGUGUCUGCAAGCUUCUUCCUUGCUCAAGAGAUCUUAGCAAAUUUAGAUAGAAAGGCACUUUGUUGAAAAGAGAUUGGACUGUACCCAGAUUGAUGGGAAGACUGGAGAACCACGUUCAGGACAUCAGUGGACAUCCAGGGACACCAGGUGCCCAAGACCACAAUGAGACCACGGCCACGGGAGCGGUCCAGCUGGGAUAAGGCUCCCUGGCCCCCGGACACUGCAUGGCCCCUCACCGUGGGCUCCUCCCAAGACAGGCUGGGCACCCCUCAAACCAUCGGCUCUGCACGUCUCAGGCUGGGCUUUCCAGCAUCGCAGGUGCCCUUCCCCUCCCCCAUGCCUUCGCCCGGGGCCCCAGAGAGGCCUGGAGAUGGCAGCAGGCACAAAGUCCUACAGAAAAAGAGAACAAAGCCUAUCUGGUAUCCGGAAGGAAAAACUUCUUUCAAAUGUGGAGAAGUAACACAAAAAUGUUACAUGUGGGCUACCUAGUCCUAGGCUGAGCCACCUCAUUGCCUGACGACAUUGUUACACUGUGAGCAACACCAAGGCCUCACCUUGAGCAAAGGGUUACAAGGGUUAUGUUUAUACUGGGAUCAAUAAUAAACAGUCCUGAAAAGUGAGAUUUAAAUUCUGCCUUGUGACGUCUUUGAAAAUUCAAAAGGCUUUGUAUGGAACGGGUGUCGGUAGGGCUGGGGCCAAUGCAGAGGAAACACAAGCAGCUAUGAAUGGAGGGUUCAAGUGCAGGGUGACGGGACCACCUGGCUGGAAUGUCCCGGGACAUUCCAACCCAAUCCUUCAUGACUCGAGGCUGAACCGGCUCCAGCUGCCAUCUCUGUAAGAGCAAGCAGUCGCUGAAUGUUCCUGUAUCAACCACCGGCUCCCUUGGAUUACUCUGAACAAUUUCUUUCUUCUUCUUUUCUUUUUUUUUUUUUUAAAUUUUUUUUUCAACGUUUUUUAUUUAUUUUUGGGACAGAGAGAGACAGAGCAUGAACGGGGGAGGGGCAGAGAGAGAGGGAGACACAGAAUCAGAAACAGGCUCCAGGCUCCGAGCCAUCAGCCCACAGCCUGACGCGGGGCUCGAACUCAUGGACCGCGAGAUCGUGACCUGGUUGAAGUCAGACGCGUAACCGACUGCGCCACCCAGGUGCCCCUCUUCUUCUUUUCUUAAUCAUUAAUAGAGUUCCAAGACUUUGUCCCAGUGAAAUUAAAGAUACUUUAUAACAAGAGCACCUGGGUGGUUCAGUGGGUUAAGUGUCCCACUGUUGAAUUGGGCUCAGGUCAUGAUCUCAUGGUUCGUGAGAUAGAGCCCCAUGUCGGGCUCUGUGCUGAUAGUGCUGAGUCGGCUUGGGAUUCUUUCUCUCUCUCCCGGCACCCCUCCACUCCCUCUCUGCCCCUCCCCCGCUUGGAGACACACGCAUUCUCUCUCUCUACAUAAAAAAAACACACACACACAAAAAACCCACUUCAUUAACAAAUAAAAGAUACUGUGAUCCUUCUCUGAAGGUUUCCAUUCUUUGAGAGAAAACUAAGUAGGGACCACAUACCCAACCCAAUAAUGUAAGUUUAUUUACCUAAAAACAGCUGAGGUGGACAGAUGGAGAGAGGAUAACCCCACUGUGGACUCUUUCAGGAAAUGACAGUAAAUUACAUCCAGCAGCUCUUCGUCUCUAGAACCCUGGAGCUGAGCUGGGGUCUUUAGGGCACAGCACAGGCACAGCCGCCUCGUGCAGAAAUUGGCUGACUACGAAGGGAUGGGGGAGCAGGUAUGGAGCAGUGGUCUGGGAGUCUUUUGUCCUGAUGGGUCAGUUCUAUAUCUGGAUUGUCCUGCUGGCUGCACAAAUACCUACUGGUGAUAAAAAUUCGCACAGACACACAUACAAAUGAGUGCAUGUAAAAACUGGUGAGAUGGGAGGGAGUGAGGUCUGCACCCUAGCUAAGUGCUUUGUGCCAAGGUCAAUUUCCUGCUUUUGAUAACUGUUCAGUUAUGUAAGACCUUUGGAGGGCAUGAGGACGACUCUGCAUGAUUUUUGUAACAUUUUGUGCGUCUAUAAUUAGUUCAAAACAAACAGUUAAAAAAAGAAAGCCUUUGGCAAGAGGGCGGGGGGGUCAGAGCAUCAUACACGCCAAGAGGAAGAGCCAGCUUCCCCACAGGCGGCCGUGGUGACGCCUCUAAGCUCCCUUACACGGAGCUCUUUUGUUCUAACGCCAGGGAAGUCUCUGUGCUUUGUUUGGUUUGGUUUUGGUGGAAUGUCAACAGCAGUGGAGUUCUGCGGUGCCUCUGAUCCAACAGCGGAAUCUUUGACCUGCCACAGUUCUCUAUUUCAAGACAAUGCCCUAAAAAAACAAAAACAAAACAAAA
Long non-coding RNA from Acinonyx jubatus (cheetah), 2503 nucleotides. RefSeq lists it as uncharacterized. The transcript is spliced from 2 exons. Lineage: Eukaryota; Metazoa; Chordata; Mammalia; Carnivora; Felidae. The record is from RefSeq and is a predicted model, not a curated record.